RNAcentral lists this ribosomal RNA (497 nucleotides) under uncultured bacterium. RNAcentral describes it as "partial 16S ribosomal RNA". It matches the Rfam family "Bacterial small subunit ribosomal RNA", at positions 28 to 507 of the family's 1533-position model. The record is from RNAcentral.
GAUGAACGCUGGCGGCGUGCCUAAUACAUGCAAGUCGAGCGAACGGACGAGAAGCUUGCUUUUCUGAUGUUAGCGGCGGACGGGUGAGUAACACGUGGAUCACCUACCUAUAAGACUGGGAUAACUUCGGGAAACCGGCGCUAAUACCGGAUAAUAUUUUGAACCGCAUGGUUCAAAAGUGAAAGACGGUCUUGCUGUCACUUCUAGAUGGAUCCGCGCUGCAUUAGCUAGUUGGUAAGGUAACGGCUUACCAAGGCAACGAUGCAUAGCCGACCUGAGAGGGUGAUAGGCCACACUGGAACUGAGACACGGUCCAGACUCCUACGGGAGGCAGCAGUAGGGAAUCUUCCGCAAUGGGCGAAAGCCUGACGGAGCAACGCCGCGUGAGUGAUGAAGGUCUUCGGAUCGUAAAACUCUGUUAUUAGGGAAGAACAUAUGUGUAAGUAACUGUGCACAUCUUGACGGUACCUAAUCAGAAAGCCACGGCUAACUACGUG